CGUGAGGAUGUGGCUAUGGGGAUAGGAUCAUGGGGAGGUGAUCAUGAGCUGGUGGAGGUGACCUGGGCGAGCAUGGGCUGUGUCUGUGGAGUCCGUGUGCCUGGGGUGUCCACAGUGUCCCCAUGUUCUACCUCAGCCCAGGGUGGCUUCGGUUUCCCUGUUCCCAAGGUGUCUGUGCCACAUGGAUGUGGUGCAUGGGUGGCUGUGACACAGACAUGUCCCCCCACCUCACCAAAUCUUUUGGGGAGCACCCAGACACACUUUCUCACACAAAGUGCUGUCCCCAUGGGGACAAUUUGGAGACACUGCGUGCUGCUGUCCCUGAGGUGCCACCCCCACUAAGCCCUGUUCCUUCUCCCUUCCAGCUCAGACCCUCGGCCUCACUGGCACCCAGACCACCCAGAUCCUCGUGGAGCCCCCCGGAGGUCACCAGUGCUGUGGGACUGACAUACCAGGGCUCGGAGAAGGUCAGUGCCACCACCUGGUACAAGAAUGGGUAGUGCUGGUGGCCACAGGGAUGCGACCAACUCACUUUCACCUCGAGUGGCAUCUACAAGUGUGACAGACACGGCAGUGGGCUCAGCCUCACCGCGAGAGUGCUAGAUGACUAUCUGGUGCUGCAGGUGCUAGCACAGGCACUGCUAGAGGGGAACAUGGUGACACUGUGCUGACGGG
This is a long non-coding RNA of Passer domesticus (house sparrow), 675 nucleotides long. RefSeq lists it as uncharacterized. The transcript has 3 exons. The record is from RefSeq and is a predicted model, not a curated record. NCBI's taxonomy places the organism in Eukaryota, Metazoa, Chordata, Aves, Passeriformes, Passeridae.